RNAcentral lists this ribosomal RNA (716 nucleotides) under uncultured bacterium. RNAcentral's name for it is "bacterial SSU rRNA". It matches the Rfam family "Bacterial small subunit ribosomal RNA", at positions 66 to 760 of the family's 1533-position model. The record is from RNAcentral.
ACGCGAAAGGCCCCUUCGGGGGCCGAGUAGAGUGGCGCACGGGUGAGUAACACGUAGGUAAUUUGCCUUCGGGUGGGGAAUAACAGCCGGAAACGGCUGCUAAUACCGCAUAAUGCAGCGGCUCGACAUCGAGACAGUUGUUAAAGCGGGGGAUCGCAAGACCUCGCGCCUGAAGAGAAGCCUGCGGCAGAUUAGCUAGUUGGUAGGGUAAUGGCCUACCAAGGCGACGAUCUGUAACCGGCCUGAGAGGGCGGUCGGUCACACUGACACUGACAUACGGGUCAGACUCCUACGGGAGGCAGCAGUCGGGAAUUUUGGGCAAUGGGCGAAAGCCUGACCCAGCAACGCCGCGUGAAGGAUGAAAUCCCUCGGGAUGUAAACUUCGCAAGAAUGGGAAGAAUAAGUGCGGGCUAAUACCACGCACGAUGACGGUACCAUUUGUAAGCUCCGGCUAACUCCGUGCCAGCAGCCGCGGUAAUACGGGGGGAGCAAGCGUUGUUCGGAUUUACUGGGCGUAAAGGGCGCGUAGGCGGUCGUGACAAGUCACUUGUGAAAUCUCCGGGCUUAACUCGGAACGGUCAAGUGAUACUGUCGGACUAGAGUACAGAAGGGGCAACUGGAAUUCUCGGUGUAGCGGUGAAAUGCGUAGAUAUCGAGAGGAACACCUGCGGCGAAGGCGGGUUGCUGGGCUGAUACUGACGCUGAGGCGCGAAAGC